RNAcentral lists this long non-coding RNA (282 nucleotides) under Medicago truncatula (barrel medic). RNAcentral describes it as "long non-coding RNA (MTRU_LNC000728)". Lineage: Eukaryota; Viridiplantae; Streptophyta; Magnoliopsida; Fabales; Fabaceae. The record is from RNAcentral.
UCCUUUCUGAGUCAACUGCGUCAAUGGCAACGCCAACUUAGAGAAUCCCUCAAUGAACCUCCGAUAAUAACCUGCUAAACCAAGAAAACUUCUAAUCUCAAAAACAGACUUAGGAGAUUCCCACUGCAACACUGCAUCAACUUUCGAAGGAUCCACAUAAAUACCACCCUGAGAAAUCACAUGACCAAGGAAACUCACUUCCUUCAACCAAAACUCACACUUAGACAACUUAGCACAUAACUGGUUCUCCUUCAAGACUUGCAACAUAAUCCUCAAAUGCUC